GAUUCCCAAUUUUGUCUACCUCCACGCGGUGGGAAUCGGGCAACGUUCACUGAUGAACGGCAAAGAGACAAUA
This 73-nucleotide ribozyme is filed under the name Cyphomyrmex costatus. RNAcentral describes it as "HDV ribozyme from F. prausnitzii". It matches the Rfam family "HDV ribozyme from F. prausnitzii". Lineage: Eukaryota; Metazoa; Arthropoda; Insecta; Hymenoptera; Formicidae. The record is from Rfam by way of RNAcentral.